Long non-coding RNA from Oncorhynchus gorbuscha (pink salmon), 1185 nucleotides. RefSeq lists it as uncharacterized. The record is from RefSeq and is a predicted model, not a curated record. The transcript has 3 exons. NCBI's taxonomy places the organism in Eukaryota, Metazoa, Chordata, Actinopteri, Salmoniformes, Salmonidae.
AGGUCAGAACAAGCAACUGGGACAUCACCACUUUCGUAACCAGGGGAAUUUCACAUUUUUAUUAAAUGUAUAUAUUUUUUUAUUACAAAUAUUUACAUUGACGGCCUAUCCCAGCCAAACCAGGACGACGCUGGGCCAAUUGUACACCGCCUUAUGGGACUCCCAAUGACAGACAGAUUCGAUGCAGCCUGAAUUCGAACCAGGGACUGCAGUGCCUUAGACCGCUGCGCCACUCGGGAGCCCCGAAGGCAUGAAGGCUACACCUACAGAUGGAAACGACAGACCACAAAUAAGUCCUUCUGGAAGUGCACCGAAUAUUAUGCUUUCGAAUGCAGAGGCAACAUGGGUUGGGAGAAGGAUGGACGCAAUGGAAGAAAGCCAAUGUUCCCCAUAGAAUUAUGGAACUGCUAAGAUGCUGUCCUGCAAGACUUGGCGAAGACCAACAACAGAGUGGAGGACUGGCAUGGAACAUUUUUGGCAAAUCUAGGUGCUACCCACCCCCACCAAUUGGAAGUUCAUCAAGGCAUUGCAAUGACAGCAGCAAAGAAGUGAAAUGAGAAUGGAGCAGCAACUUGCUGGCGUUUCUCCACCACAGCAAAGACCCCGCUACCGCAAGCAACAGAAGGAUCUGAAGUCACUGGUUCAGGGGAACACCACAACUGAACAGCUGGAGUCUUAAAAGGCACUGCAUGGUCAAUCUGACUUCUGCAUUGGCUGUGCAGCAUUUACGGGGAUACAGCCUCUGCAGAAGUCAGAGCAUUCAUACGUCUCGCGCUUAUCAGAUCAGCGCAGAGCUGUUGUCAAGGAAGUGAGUUUGUGUUUAUACAGGCCUCACCUACCGUCAAUCAUCAUCUCAAUGCAGCGCUAUAUGAAGCCCUCCGCAUUGUUACAAGAUUUGUUUGGCGUACAGCAUGCCCCCGGAUGAAUCAAAUCAUCACUACUGAUCAGAUUUUCAGAUCAAGUAUAAAUUGGCUUUGACCCUGCAUACAAUCUCAAGUUGCAGUUGUGAAUAAUCCAAAAUGAGCACAUGAACACUUAAACCCUUUCAAUGACUCAAAUCCUUAUUGAACCAGAACAUUAAGCACAUUCUUGGAAAAUGUGUUUCUGAACUUUUUUGUUUUCAUGGCACUGCAUGGUCAUGUAGCCUAAUCUGUAUUUUUUGGUUAAUUGAAAAUAAAUGCUUUA